This 8363-nucleotide long non-coding RNA is filed under the name Gossypium barbadense (sea-island cotton). RNAcentral describes it as "long non-coding RNA (GBAR_LNC022117)". The record is from RNAcentral. Lineage: Eukaryota; Viridiplantae; Streptophyta; Magnoliopsida; Malvales; Malvaceae.
AUAUUUGGUUUAUGAAAUGGCCUUGUUCCUUCAUGAGCUUAUUCCACUCCAUCAUGUAAUCAGGGUUACAUGUAUAGCCUGUUAGCUUCUCCAUUUCUACAAUCUCUUUCACCCUAUUGAUUGAUUGCUCCCUCAGCUUUUGAACAAGGUUGUGAGCAGCUCCUUUUGCGGAUACCUUGAGGUGAUAAUACAUUUCCGAGUGGCGCGUCAAAACAGACAUCACCACAUCGUCUAUGUAAUCCCAAUACUUUUCGCUGAAUUUGAUAGGGAGACACGAUAUCCUCUCGACUUUUCUCCGUAAGAUACGAAGGAAUGCUUCACAGGGAAGGAAGUUCGGUAGUUCGAUCCCCCUAGCAUCUUCCAAACCCUUGAUCUCUUCUGUUAAAAAGUCUUUUGAUAGAUUACUUUCCUCGCAGUUGUGAAGCUCAUCAGAGAGCCAGUUCAGCAUUUCAACAAACCGAGCAGUCCCGUGCUUCGUGUUGUCCUCGGGGUAUUCAUCAAAUUCCCCCCUCCAAAGAAGUUUCUUGAGGGAUUCUUUAGCUGCUUGAAUGAUCCUCAUCAUAGCUUGAGUGGCAUCAGCAAUAGAAGUUAAGGCCUUUGGCAUUUUCUCUAGCUCUGAAACAUUUGCAUCCAGCUUUGCACUAAUGUUUUUAACAAUCUCUGGCAAGCACUUUGCAAUUGCAUUAGCUUGAAUUCGGACAAGCUUUUGAGCCAAAACAUGAACACCCACAAUUGAUUUAUCAAUACGUGACAAAUGUGCAUUAGUUUCGAACAAUCUAGCCUCUUCCUUCCUUGCUUCUUCAUAGGAUUCAUCACCAAUCCGAUUCCGAACACAAACAUAACCAAGUCCUAUAUUCACAUCAUCUGCAGUAACCUUGUCAACAAGCCCUUCGGGGGCCCUAUCUACUUUAGUAACCACGGCAAGAGUUCUCUCACCAUUCUUGUCCACUUGUUGCGACAUCCUAAUGGAUUCACAAGUUGAAAAAUCAACCGUAGCCGACAGAACAUUAAGGAUAAUGCUUUCCUUUGGUGUUAUGUACUGCAUGAUGAUGUCCCGGAUCUGCUCAUAUAUGUUGUCGGGCUGACCAUGGACAGGAACUCUGGUAAUUCCAGGAAGAUCAACCAUGGUAAGAUCAGGAACCCCAUCUUUUCUCACCACCAAAGUCAAAGGGAUGUCAGAUAUGCUCUUACCCGGGCCUGCAACCUCAUCAGUUGCAAUGUUUAUGGCUGUUGCAAUCUGGGGUUCCUCCACUGGGACCGUUUUGCCAUUGUACUCCAAGUAGAGCUCUAGCCCUUGCCUUGCAUGGUUCUGCAACCUGAUUAUAAGAGGUACCCUGGUGCAAAUGCCCUGGCUACGAGGAAGGUUAACACCAGCCAAGGAUUCAAGAACACUAGACUUGCCUGAUGACUGGUCUCCAACCACAACAAUUGUGGGGAGCUGUAUGCCUUCUUUCAUCACCAUGAGCAGCCUGAGCCUGUCGAUGACAUCAAGCAAAGGUCGGAUUUUGUCAUUGUAUGAUGAAAUAAUUGGGGCUUGGGCUGCUGCUGCUCCCACCACCUUAGGUUCUUCCAUAGGAGGAGUUGCUGGUUGAGAAUCUUCAUAAUCAUUGAUGACACCAAUGCUCCCUGAAUCAGCUUCAUCAUAGCUACCCAUUUUUUAGAAGUCGAGACAGGAUGGGAAUUGGCCAAACUUGAUGUUUUAGAUGGUUUUUUUUGUUGGAAGUUGGAAAGCAAUAAACUUGAACUAAAGUGAAGACAAAUUCAAUGAAGCAUGUUUGGCUUUAUAAUGAAAAUUAAAAUAGGGUAAAGCACCGAAAUUAGGAACAAUAAAGCGAUAGCAUCCUAUACCAAACCCCAAGAAACAAGCAAACGAAGCUACAAUGGGAAUGGAAAACUUUAUGUUAUACUUUGAAUUGUAGAAAAUAAUGAUACAAGGACAGAAGAGAGGAAACAGAACAAAAUCAAAUCGUGACCAACCAAAAGAUGAGUGUGUCGAUGACAGAAAGUUCGAAACAUAAACAGCCCCACAAGUUCCUACAGGAACUAGACAGCAGAACUAUAUGAAACAAUGUAUUCACAUUGAAGUUUCGGAUAGAUGCCACGUACAAGCCAUGUUGCCAUUACCUCAUAUGCUCUUUGUGUCAAAUGAGCUCCAUCCCAACUAAGCUGUUCAUUAGGGUUUUCGCAUACCGGUACUUUUGGAUCUCCGCACCAACUUGAUAAGCCAGAAUUGUAGUCUUCCCCAAUUCCGCAGCAAGCUUUUUGCAAUGAUGUUGGAUCAAAACCAGAUGAGAUUUUUCGAAAACUCAGAACAUGACUAGAACCAUUCACAGUACGAUCACAUAAACUUAUGGAUGCAAAUAAAUCAGACUUACCAAGCAGAUCAGCUUUGCUCAAAAGCCACAGGAAUGCAUUGUAGUAGUCACCGUAGACAACGAUUACAUCUGGAUGUUUUUCUUUUAGCUGAUCAGCAAUAGCUUGUUGAAGAAGAUGAUUAUGAUAGAUUGAAAAAAAGGCUUGACUUCGUCCCUUUCGUAUACCUACUCUAAGACAAAAAAAAAAUCAUUUUAUUAAUUAAGCUUUUUGUUUAUUAAUAAUUUGUUUUUUUUUCAAAUUCAUUAAAUACAAUUAAAAACAUUUGGAAGAAAAAUCUAAUGGUAGACUAGAUAUAGUUAAGAUAAUAUCUAACAGAGAGAUCGAUGUUCGAGUAUUUGUUGAAGUUCCUACGUAACUUUUAAUAAUUUUACAAACGGAUAGAGAUAAUAGUUUAUUCGAACAUUUAUUUUUAAUAGAGUGAAGAAACCCAAUUAUUUAAUUUAUGGGUAAACUACAUAAAGGGUAACACAAGUAUAAAAAGUUACAAAAUGUUCAUCUAACUAUUCAAUAUUGUUUUUUUAGAUCACCCGGCUAACGGUGGCUACUUUUAAAAUUUGAAUAAUAGAAAUUUAACCCUCAACACUUAUAUAUUGUAUCAAUUUAGUCUUGAUUCUAAAAAAAAAUUUAACUCUCAACAUUUACACAUUGUAUAAUUUGGUCUCUCUUUUUGUAAUUUUGCUUUUCUUUGUGACAUUUAGUGUUAAUUUUAAAAGAAUAAGAAAAGAAAAAAAAUAUUAUCUUAGAUUUCUGGGUGCUCCUAUUUUUUAUAUAUUUUUAAUCAAAUUUAACUGAUAAAUUUAUUUUUAACUUUUUAAGUGAAAGGGUAAAGAAAAACAAAGUUGUACUAGAAAAAAGAAGAUCAAACUACCCAAUGUAUAAAUGUUGAUAGUUAAUUAUUUCUGGAAUCAAGAUUAAAUUGACAUAAUUUAUAAAUAUUGAGGGUUAAAGUUGAUAUUAUGCGAAUAUUAAAAGUUGCCACCGAUGAUCAGUAACCAAAAAAGACAAAACUGAAUAACUUAGUGAUCAUUUUGUAACUCUUCAUAAAUUUUAGUACAAAAUUAAGUGAAUGUUAACGUGUUUGAGGCAAAUCUCGAUGAACAUGUCAUGCAACGCAUAGCUAAAGGGGUAGAUAAGAGCUUUAGACCUCUUUUAGUUAAAUGGUAUCAUUAUGAUUAUAGUGCCUCUUAAAUGUCAAUUGUUUAAUUUAGUUCCUUUCUAGCUUUUAUUUAAAUGGAACAAUUGUAAUUUAGACCCUUUUCAAAUGUUUAAAUUUAAUUUCAGUUAUUUUAACGUAAAAUAUUUUAGCUUUGUCCCCUAUUUUUUUAAUUUUAUCUUGGCUCUUCAUCACAUAAUUCAUGACUGACAUAUAUGCCAUAGGUCAUAAGAUUGAGUCAAACUAUGCAAAAACUCUUUAGUUUCACCUGUUUGAGCACUUCAAGGCGUUCUCACUCUCUAAACCCACCAAGGAUCUAGACAAAGUCGGGAGACAAAACUCCGACUGGGGACAAUACUGGACUUGCUUAUAUCUGCUUUAUAGUUGUAUUUGUAGCAUACAAUGUAUAUUUUGUCAAAUUUGAAUACUUCUUGUUUGCUUGUCUAUUAUUCUUUUGAUAGAAGAUACAACUUUCUUUAUUUGUAUGUCCAUAUAAUUUGUUACAUUCGAUCUGUGAACCAUAUUUGACCUUCAUAUUGUCAACCAUGCCACUUGUUCAAUGGAAAAUUACCUUUGUUGAUUUGUUCUUGGUUGACAUUAAGUUCAAGGUUCGAAUCAGGAAAACCAAUCUCUCUCCCCUUAUUAUAUUUAUGUAUAUACAUGUAUUUGACCUUCAUGUUUGUUGGUGAGAAAAUGGUACAGAGUAAAUUGAAUUUUGCUUUUUGUUUGGUGUGUUUCCUAGGGAAAGCUUUAUGGAAGCCAACAAGAAUGGAAAUUUGGUUGAUGUUGAUCGGAAGGCGUUCGAAACUUGGAAAAAAUGAGCGAGGAGGUAUAGGUCCCUUGCUCCUCCCACUUUGUCAUAACUUUUCAUUGGAAGUUUUCUGUUGUAAUUUUGUAUUGAGUAUCGUCCCGAGUAUUUUCUUUAAUAGGAGAGGAAACCAUAUGUUACUCAGCCUACAUGAAGGAUAUGACUGAAGCGGAUAAAAAUAUUGUAAAGGUAACUGGGAUUCAGAGUUUAUGGAUGCUAAUUUCGUAUAAUUUAAACUUUCUAGAGCGACCUAAAUAUGUUGUUGGUGUAAUUGGUGAAAUUGUUUGUUGUGCUUUCAUAGCAAUGCUGAUACAUUCUGAAUAUUUGAUCAUGGAACUUGUUCCGUAGAUUCUUAAUUCAGAACUAUGAAUAGGGGCAUACUAAGGCAUACUAAAGAUGCAUGAUUUUGAACUCAUGAUCCUCUCAUCUUUACAUAAUCUAUGUUGCCACUCGGUUUUCUCCCUAUCGUUGUCAAUUAUUGUCAUCACAAUUGCUUUUCAAUGAUUUUUUCAGUUAGAAUUAGUAUCUUUUCCUUGUUUUGUCCACAAAAGCAAGAAUGAUAUAUGAUAGCUGUGAUUUAUCUGACAAUUAGCUUCUCUAAAUCUUUCACCCUAAUCAAUUGUCAAAAAUUUGCUGUUCUAGUGCUUAUUGGCUUCUCGUUUUUAACUUGAAAGUUAACUUAUCUAUUGUUCAAACAUCAAAAUGGAACAAAGUUUUGCAUCAUAUUCGAAGUUAUUAAUGAGUUAUUUUCUUUAGGUGGAUGAUGAGGCUGAUUCAGCAAUGGUUGGGAAAUUUGAUGAGGUUUGUAUAUAUGUUUGGAGCACAAAAAACAUAGCAAAUAUAGAUAAAUUUACGUAUUGUAUAUCUACUUGUGCUUAAACUAAGUCAUUCCCCUGCCAGUUGAGGCUCUGAAACCUUUGGGCACUGAAGUUCGAGUUUCACUAUGUAAAUCAUGUGUUGGUUCUCCCCCAGAUUUAUUUUGUUUACUUAGUUAGAGUUGAGUUAGCUUCAGUGAAUGUAACGAUUGAUUAUGUUAGUUCCCCCCUCUUUUGCCACCUCUUCUUCGUUGAAUUUACAGUUCUAUGAAGAUUAUGGGUACUAUGAAACAUCUGAUGAUGAUGGUGAACCAUACCACUCUGGAGGAUUCAAGAGCUUAAACACAACUGAACAGUAAUCGAAGUCUUCCCCACAUUUCAGUUCAAUUACCUAACUUAACCGCAAUCAUAUAUUGUGCACAAGACCGAUAAGUUAUGGCUUUCAUGAAGCAGGGAAACUGCUAUCGAGGGCGGAACUUGAAGAUGUUCUGGUUUUUGUUUCAUGUCAAUGGACCUUAUCCAACUGGCAAUGGUGGAAAAAAAAAGUUUGCCAUUUUGAUUCAUUUGUUAAGGCAAAUCAUUUGGCUAUUGUAAAGUAGUUAUAGGGGUUUUAGCCUUCGAAGCAGAUUGGUAUUUGUUUUGCUAUUUGGCAGUGGCAGUGGCAAUGGCAAUGGGGGUUUCACAGGUGAGUGGCAAGGGCUAUAGAGGAAGCAUCAUUUUGUCUAUAUUUUUUUAGUUUUAUGGAAUUUGGUUGAUGGAAUAGGUGAUAUGUUGGGUUGGAUAAAAUAAUCUAUAUUUUAUUGAAGUUAUGUUUGUUUUUAUCUGUUAGAAAAUUGAAGAAUGAUAUUAGAAAAUAUUUAGUCAAAUAAUUUGUAUUAAUAAUAGUUAAUUAUGCCUUUGUGGCUAAGCUCAUGGAAAUCAUUUAAAAAUAAAAUCUAAUAAAUAAUUAAACAUAUGAUUUAAAAUUAAUAAUAAUAACAAAGUAAUAUGUACGAAAUUUAAAUAGGUAAAUACAUUUGAUUAAGCUUUAUGUUCUGUUCUAAAUUUGGUUUCUUAAUACUUCUUCUGAAUAAGUUGGUGUCGAGUUGAUUCAUGAUACCAAUUUAGUCACAUGGUUAAAUAACUAUAUAGAUACAAAAGUUAAAUAUUUAAGAUGAUUGAUGCCUUCUGAACAUAACACCAUUUAAAUUUAUAUAAAUGUAUGAAAAUACGAAAAAUACUCAAUAACAAUAUUUAUUAAUAAUUUAAAUUUUGAUUUUUUUUAGUUUUCUUUUAUUCAAUUGGUGUCAAGUUAAAUCGUGACGCUGAUUCAGUUACAAUAUAUAGAAUAUGACGUGAGUGACAGACCAAUUUUAUUUAAAAUUUUAAUAUAAAAUAACAAUAAAGGUUUGAUUGAAACGGAAAAAUUAAAGAUUUAAGUUGCUUGAUGUCUUAUGUAAAGGUUUAAAUCGCAUCAUUUGCUUAUUUCCUUAAGUUUAAGUUGUUCCUUAUAACUUUUAUAAAAAUGUGUGAAAAUACAAAAACACCCUAUGAUAAUGUUUAUUAAUUGUUUAAAAUUUGAGUUUUUAGUACUUCUCUAAUUAAAUUAGUGUCGAGUUGAUUCGUAACAUCAACUCAAUCACACUUAAAUUAAAGUUUCCAUACAUAGAACACCAGGUGGGUGAGAGUGAUAGACGAGAUUUAUGAAAAAAAUUCAUGUAAAAUAACAAUGAAGUUUCGGUUAAAAUAAUAAAUUUAAUUUGUAAUAUUUAUAAUGAUAAAUUUACACAGAAUACUUGCCAUUUGCAUAUUUUUUAUAAGUUUAUUUUAUUUUUUAAAAUAAAGUUUAUAUAAAGGUAUGAAAUGCAAAACUACCUUAUAAUAAUAUUUAUUAAUCGUUAAAAUUUUGAUUUUUUUAAUACUUUGUCUAAUCGAGUUGGUGUCGAGUUAGUCAAUGAUAUAAUUUAGACAUAUAAUUAGACAACAGUGUAAAAGUGUAGAUACAUAGAUCACAAUGCGCGUGAUAAGCAAAUUUUAUGUAAAAAAAAACUCAUAUAAAUAUUAUAUUAAUAGAUGAGAACAUCUGUAUUUAAUAAUUAGACAACAGUGUAAAAAUGUAGACACAUAGAUUACAAUGGGCGUGAUAAGCAAAUUUUAUGUAAAAAAACUCAUAUAAAUAUUAUAUUAAUAGAUGAGAACAUCAGUAUUUAAAAAAAAAAAUCCAGAAAGCUGAUUGCAUACCAAGGCUUGGAACAUGGCAAUCAUGGUACACAAAAAAGCCAAAAAAAAUUUAGCAAUAAGAUUUCAUAAAGAUAUAAAUUGUUUACAACAGUAAAUUAACACAAGAAAAUAAAAAUAAAACAAAGUAGAAAACUAACCCCCACCCCCAAUUUGCCGUCCACAGUAGUUGUGACCUUAUUAUAUAAUCUUCAAUCCUUAAUAAUCUAUACUAUAUAUAUAGAACACAGACACUUAAAACAUGCAAUAAGCAAACCAUGAUAAUGACCCAAAUUUUAUGUGAAAAUAUUAAACCAAGCAAGCAUCAUAAGCAACAAUCCCAUCCAUGAUCUUGGCCACACUAUCUUUGGACUCCUUUAACACCUUGAUGCUGUUUUUAAGCUUCUCACGCUUUGCAACAAUGGCAGGAGAUUCCACCAGCAUCAUCUUUAUCCCAUGUCCAUCUGGUCCCAUCAGCUCCUUCACAAUCUCAUCAAUGUCAUUGUGUACAAGAUUAUGAACAUGGUAUCGUAAAUGCAAUGCCAUGGAAUCAACCAAUCUCACCUUAAAUACCUUCCAAUAAGCAACCAUUCUCAUCUUCAGGUCGAAAGCUUGUUGCAGGAUCGAAACAUCCGAGUGUUUUCUGAGAUGUUCGAUUUGGAUUUCCCCUAAACCUUCGAGAUCCACACUGCAAGGCAGCGGCCGCAUGUUUGUUCCAGAUAUUUGGUUCAUGAAAUGGUCUUGUUGCUUCAUGAGCUUAUUCCACUCCAUCAUGUAAUCAGGGUUACAUGUGUAGCCUGUUAGCUUCUCCAUUUCUACAAUCUCUUUCACCCUAUUGAUUGAUUGCUCCCUCAGCUUUUGAACAAGGUUGUGAGCAGCUCCUUUUGCGGAUACCUUGAGGUGAUAAUACAUUUCCGAGUGGCGCGUCAAAACAGACAUCACCACAUCGUCUAUGUAAUCCCAAUACUUUUCGCUGAGUUUGAUAGGGAGAUACGAUAUCCUCUCGACUUUUCUC